RNAcentral lists this long non-coding RNA (808 nucleotides) under Strigops habroptila (Kakapo). RNAcentral's name for it is "lncRNA (ENSSHBG00005001099.1)". The record is from RNAcentral. Lineage: Eukaryota; Metazoa; Chordata; Aves; Psittaciformes; Psittacidae.
GGCAAUUCCAGUUCCAUAGGAACCUGCUCAUUAAGCUGGAGACUUCCUCAGGUGCUGACAAAAGACCUUUUCUGUUUCCCCUCCCUGAUCAACUAGUUUGUAACUGUGAGCACAAUGUCCCUCUUACUGACUCCUCUGAUCCCCAGUGACAAAAGCCAACCCAACCUGUUCCCUGUCACAUAGAGGACCUCCAGAAAUCCAAGCUUCCUCUCCAUGCAAGGGGCACCCCCUCUCAUCCUUCUUGUCUCCAUGCUACACGCCUGGGGUUCCAGCCAUCAAGGGGACAUGAGAUUAUCUGUACAAUUCUCCCCUUACAGAACUAGAUCUAAGGAACAGCAUUUUAAAUGAUGCCUCCCAGAGUCCAUGCCUUUCUUCCUGGGACAAGAACAGACCAGCACAUCCUGGUGAAAAACAUUCUCUCAGCACCUUGCAUGCAGCCCCUUUGGUCCCAUGGACUGGUAAGGGUGUAGUUUGCAGAGGGAGAAUUGUGCAGAUAAUCUGAUGUCCCUUUGAUGCCUGGAACCCCAGGAGGUGUAGCAUGGAGACAAGAAGGAUGAGGAGGAUGGAUGUCCCCUGCAUGAAGGGGAAGCUUGGAUUUCUGGAGGUCCUCUAUGUGACAGGGAACAGGUCGGGUUGGCUUUUGUCACUGAGGAUCAGAGGAUCGGUAAGAGGGACAUUGUGCUCACAGUUACAAACUACUUGAUCAGGGAGGGGAAACAGAAAAGGUCUUUUGUCAGCACCUGAGGAAGCCUCCAGGUUAAUAAGCAGGUUCCUAUGGAACUGGAAUUGCCCCGGCAUUCCCUGGCCA